CUGGCGGGCUGGCACCGCCGAAAUUGCCCUUCCCUAGGCGGAGCUUGUGCCUUCUCAUGGCACAGAGGGCAGCGUUGGCUCCUGAGUCUCAAGAUGGCAGAAUUAUUUAUGGAAUGUGAAGAAGAGGAGCUAGAACCCUGGCAACAGAGAGUGAGAGAAGUGGAAGAGGAUGAUGAAGACGAUGAUGAUGAGCCAAUCUUUGUUGGGGAAAUCUCCAGCUCAAAGCCAGCUGCUACAUAUAUAUUGAACAGAGUCAACCUCAGCUCACCACGAAGGGGGAUACAGAAUGGUGCACCCAGUAGAGGUGCGGUCGCUGCGUUCAAGUCCGAGGGUCAGCAGUUCGAGCCGCCUGCCUCCAGCCCCGGCGCCGCGCCCGCCCCGGCAGCGUUUCAGGCUGCGCCCAGAGCUGCCGCCGGCUCGGUGGCACUUCAGCCAUUGGCUGGAGCAGUGAAUGUUUCAGCAACUUCACAAACACUGCAGAGACCGCUUGCUGGGUGUUUGUCAACACAGCAGGUGCCUGGGUCAAGUUCUGGAAUAGCACAGCCUGUUAGCAGACCUGUAACCAUUCCAGUGACGACACAGCCGGUAUCAAGAAGUAUUACAGUUCCUGUAGUGGCUCAGCCUGUAUCCAGGCCAGAGACUCCUGCAACAGCACAGCCUGUAAUACUCAACCAGGAUUAUAUUAUGGAUUCUGCACCAGAUGCACCAGAUAACACAUCUGGUAUUCUGUUUGGUGUGAGACAGAGCUCGGGAGUUCCACAGUACCAGACUGGGCCAGCUGUGACUGUAACAGGGACAAAUGCUGCAUCCAGCACCAUUAAAAAUGGAGGACCUUUUCCACGGGCUUGUCCAAAGUGUAAUAUACAUUUCAAUCUUAUGGAUCCUCUAAAAAAUCACAUGAAGUAUUGCUGUCCAGAUAUGGUAAAUAACUUUUUCUCAGAAGUGGUCAAAACAGAAUGUGUGAGCACAAACAGGACCAUGGAAUCUGAGAAAGGAAAGCUGAUUAUGUUAGUUAAUGACUUUUAUUAUGGGAAGGAUGAAGGUGACCUCCAGCAGGUACAACAGGAGCAGAAGACUCAUACGACAUUUAAAUGCAUCAGUUGUCUCAAAGUUCUUAAAAAUAACAUAAGGUUUAUGAACCACAUGAAACAUCACUUGGAGCUUGAGAAGCAAAGCAAUGAAAGCUGGGAAAGCCACACGACGUGCCAGCACUGUUACCGGCAGUUCCCCACGCCGUUCCAGCUGCAGUGCCACAUCGAGAGCACGCACACGCCGUACGAGUCAUCCACUAUUUGUAAAAUCUGUGAAUUAUCAUUUGACACAGAGCAAGUUCUUUUGCAACAUAUGAAGGACAAUCAUAAGCCCGGUGAAAUGCCGUAUGUUUGCCAGGUGUGCAGCUACAGAUCCUCAGCUUUUUCAGAUGUAGAAGCACAUUUUAGAACAGUUCAUGAAAACACAAAACAUUUGCUAUGCCCAUUUUGCCUCAAAGUUAUUAAAAUUGGAGCACCGUAUAUGCAUCAUUACAUGAGGCAUCAGAAAAAGGGAAUAUACCGUUGCACUAAAUGCAGACUGCAAUUUUUAACAUGCAAAGAAAAAAUGGAUCACAAGACUCAGCAUCACCGAACAUUCAGGAAACCCAAGCAAUUAGAAGGCUUGCCUCCUGGAACAAAGGUGACUAUUCGAGCAUCUUUGGGAUCUCAUCAGUCAGGAGCAUCGGCUACAUCUUCUGUUAGUACAAGCAGUUCCACAUUUCAGUUAUCACCUAAAAAUAAAAAUGCAACCACUAAAAAUCAUAACAAAUCUAAUACAAGUAAAUCAAGAGGAAAAUCAAAACAAUCUACACCGAGGAAACAAAAUGCAUGGACAAACAGCAGAAGAAAAAAAGAGCCUUCAAAUAUAGCAUUUCAUAAUCUGAGGUAUCUUGUGGGAACUCACAAAUGCAUUGAGUGUUUCUCAGAAAUAAAAGAUUUUGCAAGCCACUUUCCUGCAUAUGUCCACUGUAGUUUAUGCAGAUACAACACCAGCUGUAGCAAAGCCUAUGUCAAUCACAUGAUGAGCUUUCACAGUGCUCGCCCCAGUAAAAGGUUUUGGAUCUUUAAGAAGCAUUCAGAGCAGCUACGAGGUGUGACUGUAGUGUGUCUCAACUGUGAUUUCCUGGCUGAUGUUUCUGGCUUGGAUGACAUGGCCACACACCUGAGUGAGAACCAGACUCAUACUUGUCAAGUUAUUGUAGAGGAAGUUUCCACAGGUAAUGCAACUGCUGCACAAGUGUCUCAGGCAGUUGAAAGUGAGCAGGUAUCCUAUACUGCCUUGGCUCACUGAUACAUCAUUGUGGACCAGAAAAUUGAACCCAGUCCAGCUUGGGAUUAUUUUGCAAACAAGAGCACGACUCUUCAGAUGAAACAAAAGAAUGCAGUAGAAAUCAAACUAAAAAAGUUGCAUCCGUUGAAAAGAGGGAAGACUCGUCACUGUCACAUCCAGAAAAUGUCCGUCGUUUGGAACUCCCUGGCAACUGCUCAAAGAAUUCUUUGCAUGAGAAAAGAGCAUACUGUGAAUCAGCUAAUAGCAGACAGUUAGUAGAUGAGAAACAAAAAUGUAUUCCUGAUGAAAGUGAGAUGAAAAGGUGCCAAAGUUCGGCUGCCAUCCUGAAUGAGCAGACGAAAGCGCGUGGCUGGGAUGGAACUGCGCUUUCAGCCAGGAACGUGAGGGACUUAAAGCUGAGCCUGGGGGAAGAUGUCAGCUUUGAGCAGUUCCUGAGAAAGAGGGAUGAGCCUGAAUCUGUGAGUUCAGACAUCAGUGAACAAGGCAGUAUUCAUUUGGAGCCUUUAACUCCAUCAGAAGUACUAGAGCACGAGGCUACUGAAAUUCUCCAAAAAGGUAAUGUCGCACCUUCGGCAAAGAAGGCUGGACAGCUCACUGAGCAAACAGAUGAGACUUCUAGAGAAAGCAAUCCCAGCAGAAUGGAAACAACUGCAGACAAGACAGAUGAGAAUGAAGCAAGCUGAAAUUGUGUUCAUUUUAUUGUUUGUUUUAAACUGUGCUAAGAACACCAUGGACCAUUCCUGAUGAGUGUGCUCACAGAUGCUAAAGACUAAAAAUUUUUCAAGGGAGGAGAAGAGAAAGGGACACCAAAGGGAAGUUUGCAUAUGGAGGUAGCAUGUAUGUGUAUGUAUGACUGAAUUCAUUAAGCUUCAAAAAGGUAACAUGUUAAAAUAUAUCUUCCUGUCUCUUGGAUGUGAUAUAUUACUAGAUUGAUACUUGAUAAGAGGUAUAAAUUCUAAUUUUUUAAUAGUUAACUAGCCCAGGAUAAGGUGAUUUGUUCGCCCAGAAAGUAUUUUUCUAAAUUCUUUAGUGUGAAUAUCAUUGAACAGGGGAUUGAGUAGGAAUUUCCUUCUGAUGCUGACAUGGAGCACACUUAUAAUGGAGGUUAUUGGUCUGCUGAUAGUUUAGGUAAAUAUAAACCUUGGAACUUGGUGUCACAUUCCUGUCUGUAAAAGCAUGUAAACAGAAGUAUAUGAAUUUGUGCACCUCUGUACAGGUGUAAUCCUGCCAGGCUGUAAACUUACCUUAAUAAACUUUCAGUGAAAGUGAAAUUAUUACAAUAAAAAACUAUAUUUGUGGAGUUUUCACUGUGCAGGCUGUGCAGAACUACCAAACCUAGCUCUAGGAAGUAGGACACAAUGCUGAAAGUACUGUAGCCCUUAGGCUUUUACCAUUGGGUUGAUUCCUCUUAGGCAUAGACCCAUAGGAAUGGUCUGUAAGUCACACCAAAGUAUGGUUUGAUGUAAAAAUGGUUCUAAGCAAAAAUAAGGAAAACUCCAAACUGGAAACACCACCUGGCAUGCAUUUUGCCAUUUUGCAGCUGCUACUGGCUAACUUAAAAAUAGGACACAAGGGCAUAUAAAGUAGUAUUGUACAGUUCAAUUUCAGGACUUUUUGUAGUCUGAGUUAUGUACUGAAAAAUGGCUGCUGGUUUUAGUUUGGUUUUUUGGUUUUGAGGUUUUUUUUUUGUCUUCUAGUUAGCUAGAUUUAGGAAUGCAUAUGAUAACAGUAGCUUGCUCCUUUGGUUUCAUUGCUCCAUUUGAAACAUUCAGAAUGUGCUUUUGACUUACAUUUUUGUUUUUAAUGAAUGUUAAAUGUUUUGAACAGCUGUUAAAGUACUGCUGUAAAUUAUUACUUUUUGAGUAAAUAUUUGCAACAAAAAAU
Molecule: non-coding RNA, 4206 nt
Organism: Zonotrichia albicollis (white-throated sparrow)
Lineage: Eukaryota; Metazoa; Chordata; Aves; Passeriformes; Passerellidae
Source: RefSeq, a predicted model, not a curated record